RNAcentral lists this ribosomal RNA (460 nucleotides) under uncultured bacterium. Its description in RNAcentral is "partial 16S ribosomal RNA". It matches the Rfam family "Bacterial small subunit ribosomal RNA", at positions 338 to 795 of the family's 1533-position model. The record is from RNAcentral.
CCUACGGGGGGCAGCAGUGAGGAAUAUUGGUCAAUGGGCGAGAGCCUGAACCAGCCAAGUCGCGUGAAGGAUGAAGGAUCUAUGGUUUGUAAACUUCUUUUAUAAAGGAAUAAAGUGAGGCACGUGUGCCUUUUUGUAUGUACUUUAUGAAUAAGGAUCGGCUAACUCCGUGCCAGCAGCCGCGGUAAUACGGAGGAUCCGAGCGUUAUCCGGAUUUAUUGGGUUUAAAGGGAGCGUAGAUGGGUUGUUAAGUCAGUUGUGAAAGUUUGCGGCUCAACCGUAAAAUUGCAAUUGAUACUGGCAGCCUUGAGUACAGUUGAGGUAGGCGGAAUUCGUGGUGUAGCGGUGAAAUGCUUAGAUAUCACGAAGAACUCCGAUUGCGAAGGCAGCUUACUAAACUGCCACUGACAUUGAUGCUCGAAAGUGUGGGUAUCAAACAGGAUUAGAUACCCGUGUAGUC